This 429-nucleotide ribosomal RNA is filed under the name bacterium. RNAcentral's name for it is "partial 16S ribosomal RNA". It matches the Rfam family "Bacterial small subunit ribosomal RNA", at positions 355 to 776 of the family's 1533-position model. The record is from RNAcentral.
UGGGGAAUAUUGGACAAUGGGCGCAAGCCUGAUCCAGCCAUACCGCGUGGGUGAAGAAGGCCCUCGGGUUGUAAAGCCCUUUUGUUGGGAAAGAAAAGCAGCCGGUUAAUACCCGGUUGUUCUGACGGUACCCAAAGAAUAAGCACCGGCUAACUUCGUGCCAGCAGCCGCGGUAAUACGAAGGGUGCAAGCGUUACUCGGAAUUACUGGGCGUAAAGCGUGCGUAGGUGGUUGUUUAAGUCUGUCGUGAAAGCCCUGGGCUCAACCUGGGAAUUGCGAUGGAAACUGGGCGACUAGAGUUUGGCAGAGGGUAGUGGAAUUCCUGGUGUAGCAGUGAAAUGCGUAGAGAUCAGGAGGAACAUCCGUGGCGAAGGCGACUGCCUGGGCCAACACUGACACUGAGGCACGAAAGCGUGGGGAGCAAACAGG